AUGAACGCUGGCGGCGUGCUUAACACAUGCAAGUCGAACGGAGAUGUUGUGUGAGCGGAGAGUGCUUGCACUUAACAAUCUUUCAACAUCUUAGUGGCGGACGGGUGAGUAACGCGUGGGUAACCUGCCUCAUACAGGGGGACAACAGUUGGAAACGACUGCUAAUACCGCAUAAGCCCACACUACCGCAUGGUAGAGUGAGAAAAGAUUUUAUCGCUUUAAGAUGAGCUCGCGUCUGAUUAGCUAGUUGGUGGGGUAACGGCCUACCAAGGCAACGAUCAGUAGCCGGACUGAGAGGUUGAUCGGCCACAUUGGGACUGAGACACGGCCCAGACUCCUACGGGAGGCAGCAGUGGGGAAUAUUGCACAAUGGAGGAAACUCUGAUGCAGCGACGCCGCGUGAGGGAAGAAGGUAUUCGUAUUGUAAACCUCUGUCUUCGGGGACGAUAAUGACGGUACCCGAGGAGGAAGCACCGGCUAACUACGUG
This 488-nucleotide ribosomal RNA is filed under the name uncultured bacterium. RNAcentral describes it as "bacterial SSU rRNA". It matches the Rfam family "Bacterial small subunit ribosomal RNA", at positions 29 to 507 of the family's 1533-position model. The record is from RNAcentral.